GGGCCCCUGAAGCUAGAGGUUUGGAUCUGAUGCCCCCUUCUCCCUCAAGGAAAUUCCAGAAGGUGCCCAGUGCUUCUGCACACUCACGUUUAACCCUCUCGAGUGCUUGAGGAGUUGGUGAGCUGAAAUGAACAGAGUGCCUGGGUUCCAAUCCAGCCACCACCCUGUCAGCCGUAUAAGCGUGGGCAAAUUACAUAAUCUCUCUCUGCCUUGGGAGUUCCUGUGGUGGCUCAGUGGUGACAAUUCCAACUAAUAUCCAUGAGGAUACAGGUUCGAUCCCUGGCCUCGCUCGGGGGCUUAAGGAUCUGGCGUUGCUGUAGCUGUGGUGUAGGCUUGGCAGUUAUAGCUCCAAUUCAACCCCUAGCCUGGAAACCUCCAUAUGCCAUGGCAAGGCCCUAAAAAAGGACAGAAACCAAACCCCAAAUCUCUGUCUGCCUCGUCUGCCCAAGGGGAAUAAGAAUACUACCUACUUCAUGGAGCGGCUGUAAGGGUUAAAGGAGAAAUGCAGGGCCCUCGUGGCCAUCAGCACCCACGUGUCAGGUGGAGAUCACUCUUCUUGUCUUCAUUUUUCACAUGAGGACAUGGAGGCUGGGACUGUCCAGAGGGUGGAUGGGGGCACCUCUGAUCGUCUCUUCCGAGCUGGUCUCGUUUGCCCACAGCCGGCUUUCUUUUCAGGCCAGCUUCUUCCAGAAAUGGAGGCGGUGCUCCUUAGGAAACGGGCACCGCUCAGAGCAGAGCACCUGUGCCACCGAUGAGCCCAGGGAGGGGCUGAGCCUUGCCUGGAGUCCCCUAGCAGGUCCACCAGAGGCGAGAGCGCCUGGCUUCCAGGCUGGGCCCUUCCUGCAGCCUGGCACCUCUCCCUGCUUUUCCACCCCAGCCUCAAGAGCAGCGCCGACUCUUUUGGGGCCAGGAAGGAAUAGAGGGGCCGCGUGGAAAGAGCCCGAGAGGGAGCACCAGCCAGUUCACCUCUGGCCCUGUCUGCUGUGCCACCUCUGGCCUUAUUUACUGGCAGGCGGGUCAGGCAACCUCUCCGAGCCCGUUUCCUCAUCUGUAACGUGGAUGACAGCCAGCGCUCACCGAGCAUUUAUUCUCGCUGGCAGCAUCAGGCAUUUUUCCUGCCUGGUCUUACUGCCUCCUCCCGCCCACAGUUGUGGGGAGGACUGGAUUGCCAUUCAAUAAACACAGGGGCUGAGGCUCAGAGGGAAGAAGGCGUGUGGCCUUCCAGCCACGGACCUGGGCAAACUCUUAAGCCUCUUGGGGACGCAGGUUCCCCAUCUAUCCAAGGGCGCCUUUGUAAGCAUGAAAUGGAUAAACAAACGCCGUGCACAUGGAACGUUAUAAAAUCCUGUACACAUGCCGCAGUUAUAACUAUGUUGACCAAUGGUCCUUACAGAGUUUUAAUGAAGAUUAAAUGAGAUAACAAGACGGCAUGACCUAUGGCCAGAGGUGCCAUCAAACACGAAUGUUUUGCUAGCGGCUCAGGGCGCAAAGCAGAGCCUCGCCCAGAUUGGGCCUUGUCGGGAGGGGACGUGGCUGGUGGCCGAGUCACCAGUAGGAGGCGGCCUGGUUUCAGGCCUCAGAAGGGACACGUGGGAGGAGGCAGGUCUGAGAUGCCUCUGGUUUCCUGGCCCCUUUCAGCCCCAGUGCCCUUGAGCAAGUCCUUCCUCUUCCCCCUCUGCCCUCCUGUUCCUUCAUCUGUGAAAUGGGGACAGCUUUUCUCGAGGGCUCAGAUGGUGAGGAUCAGACAGGAUUAGAGACGUCAGAGCAUCUGGAGAGUGUAGAGGGUUUGCGUUCUCAGCUGCCCGUCAUCGCUACGCCCAGUACAGGUAGCCUUGCCUCUCAAGGGCAGAUAAACAGGCAGCCGGAUGUGCCCCCAGCAGCAUCGAGGCUGGGCCCUGGGAACCACAGGGGAGAGAGACUUGAGAGAGUCUUAAGUCAGCCUGGGAAAGGGAAGAAGACAGCGGAUAGGACAGUUCCCAGGCCCCGGGACCAGUGAGAGGCCUCAUGCCCUGUGGGCAGUCGGGCCAAGGGCCGAGUGCUUGAAGGCAGAGAAGUGACAGAGGCAUGGCUUUUAGCUCCAGGAGGAGAGGACCUCAUGGGGCAGCUGGCUUUUUGAGGGUGGAACAUCAUGGGAGGCCGGUGGGGUCCUCAGAGGUGAGCUGAGCAUCCUGGAGCCUCUUGGGACCCAGGUCUGUUUGUGGUUUCCUGUCAGACAGAGGUUUGAGAAGCCAGAGGUCCCCACGGUGCUACCCCGGCUUCUGGCAGCUGUGGGCAGAUAACACAGGCGCCUCGCUUUCCCAGGAGACGGUUGGAGGGUAAAUAUAAGUGCUGAACAGGUUCUCUGACGCGUGUGGGGAGGAUCCCUGGGGACCAUCUGAGCUCAGUGGGGCUUGGGCAGGAAGCAGGGGUGCCUUUGUGGGAGUCCGGCUGGAUGACUCUGGGCUCACGCGGCCCUCCGAUUCCAAGUUCCCUUGGCUGUUUCGAUGGCAUCUACGGCCCAUCUGGCCCUGUCUAGGUUCGAUCUGAGCUGUCUGCGAUCUGUCUGCACCGAGUCUGGUUCGUCCGGAGCUGCUGUCUGCUUUCUGUCAGGUCCUGUCUGCGAUCUGCUCGGACCCGGUCGCUCUUCUCUUUAGAUCUCAACUGGCAACACGCCCACUAGACACUGUUCGGAUCCUGUCUCGAUUUGAUUUGGGCUUUG
This 2698-nucleotide long non-coding RNA is filed under the name Sus scrofa (pig). RNAcentral describes it as "lncRNA (ENSSSCG00015019787.1)". Lineage: Eukaryota; Metazoa; Chordata; Mammalia; Artiodactyla; Suidae. The record is from RNAcentral.